This 358-nucleotide ribosomal RNA is filed under the name Speleonectes parabenjamini. RNAcentral describes it as "LSU rRNA". It matches the Rfam family "Bacterial large subunit ribosomal RNA", at positions 1810 to 2334 of the family's 2925-position model. The record is from RNAcentral. Lineage: Eukaryota; Metazoa; Arthropoda; Remipedia; Nectiopoda; Speleonectidae.
AAAACAUGGCCUCUUGUAAGGGUGAAUAUAUGAGGUCGGACCUGCCCGCUGCUUCGGUGAAGGGCUGCGGUAUACUUGACUGUACAAAGGUAGCAUAGUAAUUUGCCUAUUAAUUGUUGGCUAGUAUGAAUGGUUUGACAAGAGACUUGCUGUCUCAGUAGUAUUAGAUUGAAAUUCACAUUUCAGUGAGGAGGCUGGGAUUUUACCAAGGGACGAGAAGACCCUGUAGAUUUUGAGUUUAUGCGAAAGUGGAGUUAAUUAUGUUUGUGAUGUUUUGCUUUGUGUAUGUAAUUUUUACUGGGGCGGUUGUUGAAGAUGAGGAUCUUCAGUUUUUUUAAUUUCACCGGUGGGUGUUUUG